GAUACUCAAGGCUUAGGCUUGAAAUUCCAAUCUAGAAAGUAGCAUUUAAUACUCUGAUUUUUGGGAAUUGAAGUAUAUUUUUGGGAAUUUAGAAGCCAAUCUAGCACGGUGGNNNNNNNNNNNNNAAGCAAUUGUGGACUUGAAUUCAAUUUUACUUUUGAAACCCAAAAGGGGAAUCAGUUGGGGGUUGGUCUUUGAGGAUUCUGUAGCUAUGGCUCUGUGAUUCCAGAGUUGGAAAGAGAAGAAGACUUGAUUGCUGCGGCAAAACACAUUGCAAGGGCAUUGGGAUCUAAAAAGAAC
RNAcentral lists this unclassified non-coding RNA (300 nucleotides) under Hevea brasiliensis (rubber tree). Lineage: Eukaryota; Viridiplantae; Streptophyta; Magnoliopsida; Malpighiales; Euphorbiaceae. The record is from RNAcentral.